AAUUUUGGACAAUGGGGGAAACCCUGAUCCAGCCAUCCCGCGUGUAUGAUGAAGGCCUNCGGGUUNUNAAGUACUUUUGGCAGUGNCAAAAAGGUAUCCCCUAAUACGGGAUACUGCUGACGGUAUCUGCAGAAUAAGCACCGGCUAACUACGUGCCAGCAGCCGCGGUAAUACGUAGGGUGCAAGCGUUAAUCGGAAUUACUGGGCGUAAAGCGUGUGUAGGCAGUUCUGAAAGAAAGGUGUGAAAGCCCAGGGUUCAACCUUGGAACUGCAUUUUUAACUGCCGAGCUAGAGUAUGUCAGAGGGGGGUAGAAUUCCACGUGUAGCGGUGAAAUGCGUAGAUAUGUGGAGGAAUACCGAUGGCGAAGGCAGCCCCCUGGGAUAAUACUGACGCUCAGACACGAAAGCGUGGGGAGCAAACAGG
This 424-nucleotide ribosomal RNA is filed under the name uncultured bacterium. RNAcentral describes it as "partial 16S ribosomal RNA". It matches the Rfam family "Bacterial small subunit ribosomal RNA", at positions 360 to 776 of the family's 1533-position model. The record is from RNAcentral.